This is a long non-coding RNA of Xenia sp. Carnegie-2017, 463 nucleotides long. RefSeq lists it as uncharacterized. Lineage: Eukaryota; Metazoa; Cnidaria; Anthozoa; Malacalcyonacea; Xeniidae. The transcript is spliced from 2 exons. The record is from RefSeq and is a predicted model, not a curated record.
CGGAAUUGUCGCAGAAAUUUUAUCUUUCAAACAUUUGGAGGAGGAACUCAAUUAACGUAUGCUGAGAUUUUCACUAGUUUCUAGACAGUGCCUGCGAGACACAAAGACGUUGAUGGUCAGCAGUAAUAUGAAGAACUUGAGUUUAAAAAUCACGAGGAAUGCGAUUUGUUUCAAAAGUACAUCAGCAACGAUGAUAUUGUGGAUUGCAUCGUAAGUUGAUGGUGGACGAGCUUACAGGAAUGACUUACCAUCCAGGUAUACUUGCGAUCAGACUUAUGGCUCGUGCUAAUAUUUAUUGUACAAAUAGGAUAGUGUGUCCCAAUGAUCCGUUUGUAACCGUUACGCAGCGGAAAUUGUAUUCCUAAUGAUCCGUUUGUAACCUUUACGCAGCGGAAUUUGUAGCGUUGUUUGUGUAAAUCAUUCGUAACUUGAGUUGAAUAACAAAACAUAUUCGUUCAUUUAA